This 514-nucleotide ribosomal RNA is filed under the name uncultured bacterium. RNAcentral's name for it is "bacterial SSU rRNA". It matches the Rfam family "Bacterial small subunit ribosomal RNA", at positions 387 to 917 of the family's 1533-position model. The record is from RNAcentral.
UCNAGCGNACCGCGUGCAGGAUGAAGGCCUUCGGGUUGUAAACUGCGGUAGAUACGUAACAAUGCAAAUGAGUGCGUAUCGGAAAGAGGUGGGUAACUACGUGCCAGCACCAGCGGUAAUACGUAGACCUCAAGCGUUAUCCGGAUUUAUUGGGCGUAAAGCGCACGUAGGAGGUUUUGUGCGUCUUCUGUUAAAGCCCAGGGCCUAACCCUGGAAGUGCAGGAGAUACGACAAGACUCGAGGGGGUUAGAGGUGCAUGGAACUCACGGUGUAGGGGUGAAAUCCGUUGAUAUCGUGGGGAACACCAAAGGCGAAGGCAGUGCACUGGGACCUUCCUGACUCUGAGUUGCGAAAGCGUGGGGAGCAAAAAGGAUUAGAUACCCUUGUAGUCCACGCCCUAAACGAUGCCUGUUUGCUGUUUCGAGUAUCGACCCUCGGAGUGGCGUAGCUAACGCGUUAAACAGGCCGCCUGGGAAGUACGGCCGCAAGGCUAAAACUCAAAGGAAUUGACGGA